UAGGCUUUGGGGCACCCGCCGCAAGACAGGUGCUGCAUGGCUGUCGUCAGCUCGUGCCGUGAGGUGUUGGGUUAAGUCCCGCACGAGCGCAACCCUUGUCGUGUGUUGGUCCUAAAAGAUCUCUCACACGAGACCGCCGGUGAUAAGCCGGAGGAAGGUGGGGAUGACGUCAAGUCAGCAUGGCCCUUACGUCCCGGGCUACACACGUGCUACAAUGCGCCGGACAACGAGCUGCAAACUCGCAAGAGUGAGCCAAUCUCUUAAACCGGCGCUCAGUUCGGAUUGAAGGCUGCAACUCGCCUUCAUGAAGUCGGAAUCGCUAGUAACCGCAGAUCAGCUACGCUGCGGUGAAUACGUUCCCGGGCCUUGUACACACCGCCCGUCACGUCACCUGAGUUUAGUGUACCCGAAGCCGCCCGUGCAACCGUAAGGAGCAAGGCGUCUAAGGUGUGCUAGGUAAGGGGGACGAAGUCGUAACAAGGUAGC
This 486-nucleotide ribosomal RNA is filed under the name uncultured bacterium. Its description in RNAcentral is "bacterial SSU rRNA". It matches the Rfam family "Bacterial small subunit ribosomal RNA", at positions 1008 to 1500 of the family's 1533-position model. The record is from RNAcentral.